Molecule: long non-coding RNA, 6030 nt
Organism: Hypanus sabinus (Atlantic stingray)
Lineage: Eukaryota; Metazoa; Chordata; Chondrichthyes; Myliobatiformes; Dasyatidae
Exons: 2
Source: RefSeq, a predicted model, not a curated record
CCCUGGAGUAUAGUAAAUAUAAUAAUUGAUAGUAAAUAUAAAAAUUUAAAUUAUAAAUGAUAAAUAGAAAAUAGAAAAGGGAAAGUAAGGUAAUGCAAAAAAGAAACCGAGAAACAGGUCUGGAUAUUUGGAAGGUACUGCCCAGAUGCGGGUCAGGAUCUGUUCAGCAGGCUUAUCACAGUUGGAAAGAAGCUGUUCCCAAAUCUGGCUGUAUGAGUCUUCAAGCUCCUGAACCUUCUCCCGAGGGAAGAGGGACAAAUAGUGUGUUGGCUGGGUGGGUCUUGUCCUUGAUUAUCCUGGCAGCACUGCUCCGACAGCGUGCGGUGUAAAGUGAGUCCAAGGAUGGAAGAUUGGUUUGUGUGAUGUGCUGGGCUAUGUUCAUGAUCUUCUGCAGCUUCUUCCGGUCUUGGACAGGACAACUUCCAUACCAGGUUGUGAUGCACCCUAGAAGAAUGCUUUCUACAGUACAGCUAUAAAAAUUUGUGAGGAUUUUAGGGGGCAGGCCAAAUUUCUUAUACCUUAUAUCUUAUAUCCUUGCAUCCUGUAUGGCUGGUAUAUGCUUCUGUUCAUCUGGAGGAUGAGCAUGUGUGAGCAGGGCCUUUGUUUACCUGCUCAGCCUUUCCUUAAUGCACCUCAGCUGCUCGGUUUUGUUAUUUCUGCUGUUCUGGCAGUACCCACAGUACAUGCUUUGCUUGACUAUGCAGCAUGCAGCACAUAAUGCCUCCAUAUCUGCAUGAUGUGCACUGCAGGUGUCCUCAAAAUGAAUAAGGCAACAAAAUCUCUCUUGCAAAGACCAGUGUCAGUUCACACUACCAAGCUGGUGCCUUGAAUACCUUUCAUUCUAUUAAUGUUCUGCUGCUGUGCUUGGAGGAAGUAUUGAUGUGAGGGAAAGGAAAGUAGAAGGUAGUCCAUGGCUCCCUGAGUUUACCUUCCAAUCUGUGCAGGCUACUGCAAAUGCCAGACGGAGCAAACUCCCUAUCGAUAAAGGAGUCGUGUUUGCUUCCAGGAAGCAUGGCAUUCAUCACGAGGAAUUUCUUCUCUUCACAACAAUCCGCACACUGAUGGAGUGGAGAGCUUUCCUCUGCACAAGAUCCAUCUGUGCAUUUAAGAUCAGAUGUUUUAGGCAGCUGAAAGCAGUUGACAAAUGCCAGAUUGAAUAAGACACCAGCAAUCCCAAUACCUGGGAUCUUACCUGCACAUUACUGACAUCAAAGGAGAAAAAAAAUCUUCAUUAAUAUAGUAUGGAAUUUGCAGUAUUGUCAUUGGGCAUUCAAUCUCACCUCAGCUGCAGAAUUCAGUUCUUUUUCACUAUUACUGAAAUAAAAUUUGGAUUUGAAUAGUUCAUAUAAAACACAACAGUUUAUUAUAACUGCAGCUUGUUAAGAUUUUUGACAUUCCAUCAUUUUGUUGACAGUGGUAGACAGAUGGAGAAACAGUUGGAUGGAUAGGAAUUGUUUUUAUUUUUGCCAACAUAACUGACAGGUAACUUUCAUUUUCAAAUAAUCAUCUUGAAUGUGAAUUCCCUUAUUGUGAAGCUGUGACUACUUGCUUGUGACUGUCUCACAUCAGCAAAAACAUAAAAAAUCUCACUAUCUACCAGGUCAAGUUUCCUUAGAAUCCUACAGGUUUGGGUAAAUCCUUAAAAACUCCAAGAAAUAGAGGCUGUAUCUGUCCAGCCUCUGUUGAAAGGACAACCCUUCCAUUCCAAGAAUUAUCCUAGUUGUUGUUCUUUGACUGCCUUCGAAGCUAUUAUAUCCUUUAUCAGAUAAGGGUACCAAAACUGUGCACAGUAUUUCAAGUCUAGCUUCAGCAACAUCCUUUGGAACUAUAAUAAAUCCUCAUUAUUUUUAAUCUCCAAUCCCUUUGCAAUGAAGACCAAUGUGCUGUUUGCCUUCUUAACUAUUUGUUAGACCUGCCUGUGCUCUAUCUCUUUCUGGUCAAUAAUCUGCUUCACAAUUCCACUUACCAAAGUGUAUGAGCUCCCACUUUCUCACAUUUGCCUCCAUUUGCCAAGCCUUUGCUAAUCACUCAAACUAACCGUAUUCAUUGCAGAAUCACAUUGUAAAUAAGUGCCUUUCCACUUAUUUUUGUGUCGCUGGUAGACUUGGAAACCUGAUAUUCUCUUCCUCUUUCAGGUCAUGAAUACAAAAAAUAAAUGGCGGAAGGCCAAGAAUGAAUCCCAGGGUUACAAACAUGAGAAAGUCUGCAGAUACUGGAAAUCCCAAACAAUGCUGGAGGAACUCAGCAGGUCGGGCAGCAGCUAAGGAAAAGAGUAAUUAGUUGAUAUUCCAGGAUGAGACCCUUUUUUAAGACUCUACAAAUGACACUUCACCUGUGAGUCUGUUGGACAGGGCAACCGUGCCCAAGGAAGAGGUACAAGGACAACAUCAAGUCAAACUCCAACCCCGCGAUCAUGAACACACUGCUUGCUGCUGAUCAGUCCAAGUGGCGCAAUCUAUGCUCCAAGGCUGCAAACAACUUCCAAGCCAACUGGUGCAUGCGGCGCCUCAGGGACAGCCAAGAAAGACACAAGGAGGCGUCCGCUCCUGCCCCAACAGGCGGUGCUCCUUGCCCCAUCUGCAACCAUAUCUGCGCUUUGGACUUCGGCCUCAGAAGUCUUAUGCGUGCCCACAGACGUUGACUGCGCAACACAUUCGUCUUCCUCGGAGUACGAGAGACUACUACUCAUCAGCUGCGUGGAAAGGGGGAGCCUGCUGCGUGGGCAAAGCUUGUUCUCCAUGUUGUACUGCCCUGGAACAUGUAUCAACUGAACGCAGACAGCUAAGAUGCAACAUCCAUGCUUGCCCCCAACCAACGCAGGGGCUCACAUAUCUAUAGGUUGCUGUCUGUCAACUCUGUACGUAACAUCCUCAAGAACUGGAGCAAACUUGUAAAACAUUAUUUACCCUUCAUAAAACCAUGCUUAUAUGAUUAUAUUCAGCUUUGCUAAAUAAUUAAUCAUGUCUGCUUUGGUUAGUGACACUAGCACAUUGUGAAUAAUGGAUGUUAAUCCAAAUGGCCUGUAAUUCCCCUUCUUGUUGAUUCCCUCCUGAACAAAGGAGUCACUUUGGCUGUUUUUCAAUCUUCUGCUGUCUUCAUGAGACUUGGCAAGUUUAAAAAAAAAUCCAACCAACUGGUUUACUAUUUUUGAUUUGAUCUAUUACUUCUGUUAGCCCAGUUUUAUGAAUUGUCCUGGUUAUCAUAUCUACCAAUUUCCUUGUCCAUGUGACUACACCAAACCCUCUUAUUUCACAGCCACCUACCUAGCUGUUGGUAAGGGCUCCGUCAAAAUGAUGGCAAGGUUGUGCAUCAUGUGGCAUACCUCCUCACUUUUUGAUGCGUAUGCUGCAGAAUAGUUUAGGAACAGCAAUAACCUUUCAGCACCAUAAUAUUCUGGUUUACAAAAUUUUGUGUGUGUAUGUAUGUAUAUAUGCGUGGGUGAUGGAGAUCCUUACUGAUGGAUGCCGCCUUUUUGAGGCAUCACUCCUUGAAGAUAUCUCGGAUGCUAGGGAGGCUAGUAUUAAAAAACAAUUAAACAAAAGGGAGGCUAGAGCCCAUGAUGGAGCUGACUAAGUUUACAACUUUCUGCAGCUUAUUUUGAAUCUGUGUGGUGUCUCCAUACUGGACUGUGAUGCAGCCAGUUAGAAUGCUCUUCACAGUACACUUGUAGAAAUUUGAGAGUGUCUUUGGUGGCCUACCAAAUCUCCUCAAAUUCCUAAUGAAAUAUAACUGUAGUUGUGCCUUCUUUGUGACCGCAUUGAUAUGUUGUGCCCAGAGUAGGUCCUGAGAGAUGUCGACACCCAGGAACUUGAAGUUGCUCACCCUUUCCACUUCUGAUCCCUCGAUAAGGACUGGUGUGUGUUCCCCUGUCUUACCCUUUCUGAAGCCCACAAUUAGUUCUUUGGUCUCACUGACGUUGAGUGCAAGCUUGUUGCUGUGACACCACUCAACUAGCUGUUAUUGUAAUUAUUCAAGUGUGGUAGACUGCCACUGAAUAAGAUCUUGCUGUCUGCUGUUAGAAAUCUAGAUAUCCACUGUGGCACGCUGAAAAUGAUCAAACAUUGAUUAGAUAAUGAGAGAAUUAUCCUAUGGUGCAAUCUAAAAUUUAGAUAAUUUCGCAUCCGCUAGUCUCGCGAGAUCAUGGAUCUGUGCCUGGAAAGUCUUGCUUCAGCCUCUCCAGGGUGCAGGCCUGGGCAAGGUUGUAUGGAAGACUGGCAGUUGCCCAAGCAGCAAGUCUCCCCUCUCCACACCACCCAUGUUGUCCAAGGGAAGGGUAAGGGCCAAUACAACUUGGCACCAGUGUUGUCGCAGGAGUUGCCAGAGCGAGGUUGAAGGUAAUGUCGGACUGCCUUAGGGACUCCAGCUCCGGAUUUGUCCUCGGGGUUUACUCCCGAAGCCUUUCCCAUGAGUGGGUAUGGCCGCAAGGCAGCAGAGGUUGGAAAGUUUUCCCUCACUUAGAUGGACUGCCUUCUCAGGCUGACAAACUCCAUCAACAAUUUCUUGUUGAUACCAGCAUAUUUUACAGACUAAAUGAUGUUGUUUCUGGCUAACUAUUUAUUAAGUUUAAAAGAACUUGAUAAAUAACAUCAAAUAGUUUGCCCUGAGGAAAGGUCUUGGCCCGAAAUGUCGAGGGUACUCCUUUCCAUAGAUGCUGCCUGGCCUGCUGAGUUCCUCCAGCAUUUUGUGUUUGUUGCUUAAUAAGUAGUUUGCCAGGACAUGAAUAGAGAUAAUAUCACUGAUGUUACGCAGUGUUAUAAUAUGCCUCACAGUGAACCAGAAAAACAUGGAACAGUCCAGCACAAUACAGGUCUUCUGGCUCAUGAUAUUGUGCCAGUCUUUUGACCUACGCCUUGAUCAAUCUAACCUUUCCCACUUACAUAGCCCAUAACCCUACAUUUUUCUUUCAUUCAUUGCCCGAGUGAGAGUCUCUUAAAUAUCCUUAAACUGUCAGCCUCUAUCUCCACCUCCGGUAUGAGUUCCAGGCAGAAAAUGAGCCACACCCCACUAUCGUCAAAGUUUAAAGGGGGAGUAGGAAUCAGAGCCCUGAUGAGUUGAAAAGUAAUAAAUGGGAAUGGAACAUGUGAACCAGGGUCGUCAUCUUCAUCAUCAUUUCGGGUUGCGUCGUAUGUCGUGGACGAUCAUGGUCUGUGGUUCAUGGCAACUGUUUUUACAGAAGCGGUUUGCCAUUGCCUUCUUCUGGGCAGUGUCUUUACGUGAUGGGCCAUUAUCAAUAAACUUCAGAGAUUGUCUGCCUGGUGUUAGUGGUUAGUGGUGUUUGUGAUAUUCACCAGCUGCUCAUACGACCAUCCACCAUUUGCUCCUGUGGCUUCACGUGAUCCUUAUUGGGGGUGGGGGAGGUGUUGCACUUAGUGCACAAGGUAUUUGUUGUACUUGUUGCACAAGGUAUUCCACCUCGCCCAAGGGUGACCUGCAGGCUAGGGGAGGGAAGGAGCGCCUUGCGCCUUCUUUAUGUAAAGGGGGUUUCUUCUUUUUCUUUGUUACUGCGUAUGUUAAUCAAAAUGGCUUUGUUAAGAGUAGGAAUGCUUCUUUGUUGCGAGAGAGUGCUGGAAGCUUGUUUGGGUUAAAAUUUACUGAUAAUGAGAAUUGUAUUCCUUUGUUAACCAAUUGGGAUUAAUGUUGUUCUUCUGAGUCUGUAAGCUAUUGUUGGCGGGCUUUUGGGGAGAUCGGCACAAGGGAGUGAGAGAGAGAGAGAGGACGCAAUGCUGUUAACAGGGUGAGGAACGGACCCCAAGCGGGGUCUGAGGCCAGAAGGUACCUCGAGGAGAGGAGACAAGGAUAGAUGUGCUUGGUUGACCACUUUGGGUGGUCCUGAGCUGCAAGUCGAGGAGUUCAGAGGGGAUCGAAUGGUGGCCAGAAGACUUCAGUAAUUGAGCUCCAACGGUUGUGCACAAAGUGGUUUGGACUUUGAUAAGUUUGGCACCUUUUCUUUUUUGUUUCCUUCAUAUAUACUGUAUCGUUAUUGAUCAUUUAGUUAUAGUAAUCUUCAUAAAUUGUAAUCAUUUAAUCGCA